This 430-nucleotide ribosomal RNA is filed under the name uncultured bacterium. Its description in RNAcentral is "partial 16S ribosomal RNA". It matches the Rfam family "Bacterial small subunit ribosomal RNA", at positions 29 to 506 of the family's 1533-position model. The record is from RNAcentral.
AACGAACGCUGGCGGCAGGCUUAACACAUGCAAGUCGAACGCCCCGCAAGGGGAGUGGCAGACGGGUGAGUAACGCGUGGGAAUCUACCCAUCCCUACGGAAUAACGCAUGGAAACGUGUGCUAAUACCGUAUACGCCCUACGGGGGAAAGAUUUAUCGGGGAUGGAUGAGCCCGCGUUGGAUUAGCUAGUUGGUGGGGUAAAGGCCUACCAAGGCGACGAUCCAUAGCUGGUCUGAGAGGAUGAUCAGCCACAUUGGGACUGAGACACGGCCCAAACUCCUACGGGAGGCAGCAGUGGGGAAUAAUGGACAAUGGGCGCAAGCCUGAUCCAGCCAUGCCGCGUGAGUGAUGAAGGCCUUAGGGUUGUAAAGCUCUUUCACCGGAGAAGAUAAUGACGGUAUCCGGAGAAGAAGCCCCGGCUAACUUCGU